ACACCUACGGGGGGCCGCAGUCGGGCCUCUUCCCCCCUUUUCUCCCGCCUGAUGGAGCAACGCCGCGUGGGUGAAGAAGGUCUUCGGAUCGUAAAACCCUGUUGUUAGAGAAGAAAGUGCGUGAGAGUAACUGUUCACGUUUCGACGGUAUCUAACCAGAAAGCCACGGCUAACUACGUGCCAGCAGCCGCGGUAAUACGUAGGUGGCAAGCGUUAUCCGGAUUUAUUGGGCGUAAAGGGAACGCAGGCGGUCUUUUAAGUCUGAUGGGAAAGCAUUCGGCUGAACCGGAGUAGUGCAUUGGAAA
Molecule: ribosomal RNA, 305 nt
Filed under: uncultured bacterium
Lineage: Bacteria
Description: bacterial SSU rRNA
Rfam family: Bacterial small subunit ribosomal RNA
Source: RNAcentral